This is a long non-coding RNA of Homo sapiens (human), 593 nucleotides long. RefSeq lists it as uncharacterized. NCBI's taxonomy places the organism in Eukaryota, Metazoa, Chordata, Mammalia, Primates, Hominidae. The record is from RefSeq and is a predicted model, not a curated record. The transcript is spliced from 3 exons.
GAGGACGUGCUCCAUCAAAAUGAGAGAGUAAACCAAGAAAGUGGAAAACAGAGAAUCCAGGAAACAGGGGAUGCAACAGAAGAGAGAGCAGGUAGUCGAUUAUAUGAUGCUUAAAGCUGAAACAUCAAGAUAAAGCUAAAAGAGUUGAAGGUGGCUGCCUCUGGGACAAGGGAUCAGCACCAGAGGGAGAUGACCUCAGCAAAGGACAUCGAACCUGUGGGAGCACCUGUGAGGCAAGAAGUCCUCUGCCCUCUACCCUCACCCUCCCCAGCCAUCACAGUGCGGUGGCAGACAGGCCCUGUGAGCGGCAGGCACCUGUCAGUGCCAGAGUCCUCCCAGCAGGCCUGGUGGCCCUGGUGAAGGGGUCAGCUUGGGAGAGACGAAGCUUCUUGGGAUGGAGCUGGGUGGGAGAGGUGGAGAGGAGGACUUCAUGGCUACAUAGUACAUUACAAUCAUGCCUGUGAAUAGUCACUGCACUCCAGCCUUGAAGGGAGAUGGGGCAGGGGGUGAUGGAGAAACUUCCUUGCAACAUGGACCUGAGUGGAUCCCACCCUCCUGACACCCAAUGGGAAUGUUAAUAUGGCUCAGCUUGC